AAAAGUCGUAACAAGGUCUCCGUUGGUGAACCAGCGGAGGGAUCAUUAUAGAGUUGAAAAACUCCCAAACCAUUGUGAACAUACCUUUACGUCGUUGCUUCGGCGGGCGGCCCUUUCAGGGCCUCCAGCCCCUAUGGGGUGCCCGCCGGAGGACCAACCCAAAACUCUUGUAAUUAUGGCUUCUCUGAGUACUAUUACAAAUAAGUUAAAACUUUCAACAACGGAUCUCUUGGUUCUGGCAUCGAUGAAGAACGCAGCGAAAUGCGAUAAGUAAUGUGAAUUGCAGAAUUCAGUGAAUCAUCGAAUCUUUGAACGCACAUUGCGCCCGCCAGUAUUCUGGCGGGCAUGCCUGUCCGAGCGUCAUUUCAACCCUCAAGCCCAGCUUGGUGUUGGGGCAUUGCGACGUGUCGCAAGCCCUGAAAAACAGUGGCGGGCUCGCUAUAACUCCGAGCGUAGUAAUACAUCUCGCUAGGGACGUUUCGGCGGGUGUCGGCCGUUAAACCCCAAUUUUAUCAAGGUUGACCUCGGAUCAGGUAGGAAUACCCGCUGAACUUAAGCAUAUCAAUAAGCGGAGGAAAAGAAACCAACAGGGAUUGCCCUAGUAGCGGCGAGCGAAGCGGCAACAGCUCAAAUUUGAAAUCUGGCCCUAGGCCCGAGUUGUAAUUUGCAGAGGAUGCUUUUGGCGCGGCCCCUUCUGAGUCCACUGGAACGUGGCGCCAAAGAGGGUGAGAGCCCCGUAUAGUCGGAAGCCAAGCCAGUGUAAAGCUCCUUCGACGAGUCGAGUAGUUUGGGAAUGCUGCUCUAAAUGGGAGGUAAAUGUCUUCUAAAGCUAAAUACCGGCCAGAGACCGAUAGCGCACAAGUAGAGUGAUCGAAAGAUGAAAAGCACUUUGAAAAGAGGGUUAAAUAGCACGUGAAAUUGUUGAAAGGGAAGCGCUUGUGACCAGACUUGUGCCGGGCGGAUCAUCCAGCGUUCUCGCUGGUGCACUCCGCCCGGUUCAGGCCAGCAUCGGUUCUGUUGGGGGCAUAAAGGCCGCUGGAACGUAGCUCCUCGGAGUGUUAUAGCCAGUGGUGUAAUAUCCCCGAUGGGACCGAGGACCGCGCUCUGCAAGGAUGCUGGCGUAAUGGUCAUCAGCGACCCGUCUUGAAACACGGACCAAGGAGUCGAGGUUUUGCGCGAGUGUUUGGGUGUAAAACCCGCACGCGUAAUGAAAGUGAACGCUGGUGAGAGCUUCGGCGCAUCAUCGACCGAUCCUGAUGUAUUCGGAUGGAUUUGAGUAAGAGCGUAAAGCUUCGGACCCGAAAGAUGGUGAACUAUGCUUGGAUAGGGUGAAGCCAGAGGAAACUCUGGUGGAGGCUCGCAGCGGUUCUGACGUGCAAAUCGAUCGU
RNAcentral lists this unclassified non-coding RNA (1388 nucleotides) under Sordariales sp. KO-groupC 2014. RNAcentral's name for it is "partial contains ITS1, 5.8S rRNA, ITS2 and LSU". The stretch from base 520 to 1388 matches the Rfam family "Eukaryotic large subunit ribosomal RNA", at positions 1 to 905 of the family's 3401-position model. The record is from RNAcentral. Lineage: Eukaryota; Fungi; Ascomycota; Sordariomycetes; Sordariales.